AUGGCUGGAGAAGGAGAUGUGCCUGACAAUGAAACAGAGGGUUCUGCCAAUCCGAUCUCACGAUGGCACUCAAAAAGGGCUGCUAAGCGGCAGCCGCAUGGCGAUGAUAAGGACGGGGAUGGAGAGGAUGACGAUGGUGGCGAAAGAUUCCUCUUAGUAAAACUGCAGAGAAGAAAGGUGCGCAUGAAGGCAGUAUCCAAAGGGGUAGAUGCCACAUCUUCUGCAGCAGCCGCUGAGGGGGGUGAGGGUAAUGAAGAAGAUAAUGCAGAACGACAGUCACAAGCUGGUAGAAUAAGGGCAUCUCCUGGGAGGUUGGUGAAGUUGAACAAUAAGUUGAGCCCAUUACAAAAGUCCCCCCCUCUGCCACAAGCUGUUUGGAGGCCUGGAUUCAUGUUUUAG
This 399-nucleotide ribosomal RNA is filed under the name Triticum aestivum (bread wheat). Its description in RNAcentral is "partial small subunit ribosomal RNA". Lineage: Eukaryota; Viridiplantae; Streptophyta; Magnoliopsida; Poales; Poaceae. The record is from RNAcentral.